Molecule: unclassified non-coding RNA, 258 nt
Filed under: uncultured fungus
Lineage: Eukaryota; Fungi
Description: partial contains 5.8S ribosomal RNA, internal transcribed spacer 2, and large subunit ribosomal RNA
Rfam family: 5.8S ribosomal RNA (bases 1-52)
Source: RNAcentral
AACGCAACUUGCGCCCUUUGGUAUUCCGAAGGGCAUGCCUGUUUGAGUGUCAUGAAAUAUCAAUCCCCGAGGUUUCUCGUCGAUUGGACUUGGGUGUUGCCGUCUGGCUCGCCUCAAAUGCGUUAGUAGACUACAUUGUGAAGUUUGGCGUAAUAAGUUUCGUCAGGCCAGCUGUGGCGUCCGCUCAUAACAACCAUCUACUGUCUUCAUGACUUUAUCUCUGACCUCAAAUCAGGUAGGACUACCCGCUGAACUUAA